This 953-nucleotide ribosomal RNA is filed under the name Chaetonotus paucisquamatus. RNAcentral describes it as "SSU rRNA". It matches the Rfam family "Eukaryotic small subunit ribosomal RNA", at positions 299 to 1717 of the family's 1831-position model. The record is from RNAcentral. Lineage: Eukaryota; Metazoa; Gastrotricha; Chaetonotida; Chaetonotidae.
ACGAAUGUCUGCCCUAUCAACCCUCUAUAAUAGUUGACACGACUACCAUGGUUGUAACGGGUAACGGAGAAUCAGGGUUCGAUUCCGGAGAGGGAGCCUGAGAAACGGCUACCACAUCCAAGGAAGGCAGCAGGCGCGCAAAUUACCCACUCCCGGCACGGGGAGGCAGUGACGAAAAACAACAAUGCUGGGCUUCAAGGCUUGUAAUCGGAAUUAGUACACACACGCUAGUUUAACGAGGAUCGAGCGGAGGACAAGUCUGAUGACAGCAACUACGGUAAUUCCAGCUCCACGAGCAUGUACGUACAUUGCUGCAGUUGGAAAGCUCGUAGUUGGAUCUCGGGCCUGCGACCGGUUGUCCGCUCGAUACGGGAGUGCACUCCCAAGUCCUAUCGACGUCUGCUUAAAAAUUCCUUAGUUCAUGAAACCGGGUUCUACGGAAUGCCAGAUCUAUUACUCUGAAAAAAUUAGAAUGAUUACCGCAACCCGUUUGGGUCAGGCUACUGUUGCAUGGAAUAAUAGAAUAGGACCUCGGAUCUGUUUUGUUGGUUUUCGGACUCUAGGUAAGGAUUAAGAGUCACAGACCUGUUCAUUGCUAUUGCGCGGCUAGAGGUGAACGCCUUGGAUCGCCUCUAGAAGAACAUCUGCGAAAGCAUUUGCCAAGGAUGUUUUCAUUAAUCAAGAACGAAAGUCAGAGGUUCGAAGACGAUCCGUUAUCGGAAUUAACCAGACCAUAAUCGCUGCCAACUAACUAACGGCCGGCCAUCACCCCACCCACCGCAAGAAAGAGCUCUCAGUCUGUCUAAGUCUAUCGGUUCCUGGGGAAGUAUGGUUUCAAAGCUGAAACUUAAAGCCAGUAACGGCGAGACGCCAGCUUGCAUCGUUUAUGUCCCUCCCUUUGACUCAACGCCCGUCGCAACUACCGAUUGAACGGUUCUGAUCGUCUUCGAACC